Arabidopsis thaliana (thale cress) is the source of this 546-nucleotide long non-coding RNA. RefSeq annotates it as other RNA. The record is from RefSeq. The transcript is spliced from 3 exons. NCBI's taxonomy places the organism in Eukaryota, Viridiplantae, Streptophyta, Magnoliopsida, Brassicales, Brassicaceae.
CCAAUAUUUAGCUAGUGUACUGUGGUAGCCCUGCAUAAGCCGUGGUGCAUAAGUAAGCUUUUAAGGAGUUUUGAAAAAUAUCUAAAAUGAAUACAAGUGUGUCCAUGAUCAAUUCCUUUUCUCAAAUUCAAUAUCCUUCUUCUUCACCAAUACCGAUGUACCUUUAUUCAGAAAAAUGAUUUAUAGAAGAUGUCAAAAGGAAAAAAAGAGAAAAUUAUACAAACCCGGUUUCAAGUUCGAAAGGAAGAGGGCCUUCAAAACCGGGAAGAAACUUGACGAUAGAGCCAGAUUCAGCAUGAUGUCUUAAAACAAGUAAAAGAAGAAGCAGCAACUUGGGUGAAAAAGUUCUCAUUUUCUCUGUUAAUUUCGAAAUCCAUUUUAUGGUAAAAAUGAUCUAAUAUAGUUAGUUACCAAAACAAUAGUGGGUAGGUUGCAUUUUUGAUUCAAUGAUCACUGGUCGCUCCACGUCGAGUAGAUUUUUUGUGUGUACCUCCAAACCUUACACGGGGUUGGUUUUGACAAUAACUAUUUUGGAAACAAAUUUGG